AAUUGACGGGGGCCCGCACAAGCGGAGGAACAUGUGGUUUAAUUCGAUGAUACGCGAGGAACCUUACCCGGGCUUAAAUUGCAGUGGAAUGAUGUGGAAACAUGUCAGUGAGCAAUCACCGCUGUGAAGGUGCUGCAUGGUUGUCGUCAGCUCGUGCCGUGAGGUGUCGGCUUAAGUGCCAUAACGAGCGCAACCCUUAUCUUCAGU
RNAcentral lists this ribosomal RNA (207 nucleotides) under Bacteroides fragilis. Its description in RNAcentral is "partial 16S ribosomal RNA". It matches the Rfam family "Bacterial small subunit ribosomal RNA", at positions 908 to 1115 of the family's 1533-position model. Lineage: Bacteria; Pseudomonadati; Bacteroidota; Bacteroidia; Bacteroidales; Bacteroidaceae. The record is from RNAcentral.